RNAcentral lists this non-coding RNA (344 nucleotides) under Cucumis melo (muskmelon). RNAcentral describes it as "Bacterial large subunit ribosomal RNA". It matches the Rfam family "Bacterial large subunit ribosomal RNA", at positions 940 to 1290 of the family's 2925-position model. RNAcentral also lists the same sequence under 1 other name. Lineage: Eukaryota; Viridiplantae; Streptophyta; Magnoliopsida; Cucurbitales; Cucurbitaceae. The record is from Rfam by way of RNAcentral.
AUACUAGAUAUGAUCUCAAAAUCACAGGGGUCAAGGUCUGCCAAUGAGACGAUGGAGGAUAAACUUCAUCAUCGAGAGGGAAACAUCCCAGAUCACCAGCUAAGGCCUCUAAAUAACUUCUUAGUGAUAAAGGAAGUAGAGGUGCUGAGACAACCAGAAGGUUUGCCUAGAAUCAAACAGCCUUGAAAAAGUACGUAAUAGCUCACUGAUCGAGCGCUCUUGCACCGAAGAUGAACAUGGCAAGAGAUUUACCAAAGCUGUGGGAUAUCAAAAUGAAUCGGUGGAGGAGCCUUCUGCCUUAGAGGGAAGCACCUGUGCGAGUAGUGGUGGAUGAAGCAGAAGCG